RNAcentral lists this ribosomal RNA (254 nucleotides) under uncultured bacterium. RNAcentral's name for it is "partial 16S ribosomal RNA". It matches the Rfam family "Bacterial small subunit ribosomal RNA", at positions 524 to 776 of the family's 1533-position model. The record is from RNAcentral.
UACGUAGGGUGCAAGCGUUGUCCGGAAUUAUUGGGCGUAAAGAGCGCGUAGGCGGCCCUGUAAGUCCGCUGUGAAAGUCAAGGGCUCAACCCUUGGAUGCCGGUGGAUACUGCAGGGCUAGAGUCCGGAAGAGGCGAGUGGAAUUCCUGGUGUAGCGGUGAAAUGCGCAGAUAUCAGGAGGAACACCGAUGGCGAAGGCAGCUCGCUGGGACGGUACUGGACGCUGAGGCGCGAAAGCGUGGGGAGCAAACAGG